RNAcentral lists this ribosomal RNA (83 nucleotides) under Glycyrrhiza glabra. RNAcentral describes it as "partial 5.8S ribosomal RNA". It matches the Rfam family "5.8S ribosomal RNA", at positions 73 to 153 of the family's 154-position model. From Rfam's summary of the family: 5.8S ribosomal RNA (5.8S rRNA) is a component of the large subunit of the eukaryotic ribosome. It is transcribed by RNA polymerase I as part of the 45S precursor that also contains 18S and 28S rRNA. The record is from RNAcentral. Lineage: Eukaryota; Viridiplantae; Streptophyta; Magnoliopsida; Fabales; Fabaceae. RNAcentral also lists the same sequence under 2 other names.
UGCAGAAUCCCGUGAACCAUCGAGUCUUUGAACGCAAGUUGCGCCCGAAGCCAUUAGGCCAAGGGCACGUCUGCCUGGGUGUC